RNAcentral lists this ribosomal RNA (2923 nucleotides) under Campylobacter coli. Its description in RNAcentral is "23S ribosomal RNA". It matches the Rfam family "Bacterial large subunit ribosomal RNA". Lineage: Bacteria; Pseudomonadati; Campylobacterota; Epsilonproteobacteria; Campylobacterales; Campylobacteraceae. The record is from RNAcentral.
AAAAAAGGUAAGCUACUAAGAGCGAAUGGUGGAUGCCUUGACUGGUAAAGGCGAUGAAGGACGUACUAGACUGCGAUAAGCUACGGGGAGCUGUCAAGAAGCUUUGAUCCGUAGAUUUCCGAAUGGGGCAACCCAAUGUAUAGAGAUAUACAUUACCUAUAUAGGAGCGAACGAGGGGAAUUGAAACAUCUUAGUACCCUCAGGAAAAGAAAUCAAUAGAGAUUGCGUCAGUAGCGGCGAGCGAAAGCGUAAGAGGGCAAACCCAGUGCUUGCACUGGGGGUUGUAGGACUGCAAUGUGCAAGAGGUGAGUUUAGCAGAACAUUCUGGAAAGUAUAGCCAUAGAGGGUGAUAGUCCCGUAUGCGAAAAACAAACCUUAGCUAGCAGUAUCCUGAGUAGGGCGGGACACGAGAAAUCCUGUCUGAAGCUGGGUCGACCACGAUCCAACCCUAAAUACUAAUACCAGAUCGAUAGUGCACAAGUACCGUGAGGGAAAGGUGAAAAGAACUGAGGUGAUCAGAGUGAAAUAGAACCUGAAACCAUUUGCUUACAAUCAUUCAGAGCCCUAUGUAGCAAUACAGGGUGAUGGACUGCCUUUUGCAUAAUGAGCCUGCGAGUUGUGGUGUCUGGCAAGGUUAAGCAAACGCGAAGCCGUAGCGAAAGCGAGUCUGAAUAGGGCGCUUAGUCAGAUGCUGCAGACCCGAAACGAAGUGAUCUAUCCAUGAGCAAGUUGAAGCUAGUGUAAGAACUAGUGGAGGACUGAACCCAUAGGCGUUGAAAAGCCCCGGGAUGACUUGUGGAUAGGGGUGAAAGGCCAAUCAAACUUCGUGAUAGCUGGUUCUCUCCGAAAUAUAUUUAGGUAUAGCGUUGUGUCGUAAUAUAAGGGGGUAGAGCACUGAAUGGGCUAGGGCAUACACCAAUGUACCAAACCCUAUCAAACUCCGAAUACCUUAUAUGUAAUCACAGCAGUCAGGCGGCGAGUGAUAAAAUCCGUCGUCAAGAGGGAAACAACCCAGACUACCAGCUAAGGUCCCUAAAUCUUACUUAAGUGGAAAACGAUGUGAAGUUACUUAAACAACCAGGAGGUUGGCUUAGAAGCAGCCAUCCUUUAAAGAAAGCGUAAUAGCUCACUGGUCUAGUGAUUUUGCGCGGAAAAUAUAACGGGGCUAAAGUAAGUACCGAAGCUGUAGACUUGAUUUUAUCAAGUGGUAGGAGAGCGUUCUAUUUGCGCCGAAGGUAUACCGGUAAGGAGUGCUGGAGCGAAUAGAAGUGAGCAUGCAGGCAUGAGUAGCGAUAAUUAAUGUGAGAAUCAUUAACGCCGUAAACCCAAGGUUUCCUACGCGAUGCUCGUCAUCGUAGGGUUAGUCGGGUCCUAAGUCGAGUCCGAAAGGGGUAGACGAUGGCAAAUUGGUUAAUAUUCCAAUACCAACAUUAGUGUGCGAUGGAAGGACGCUUAGGGCUAAGGGGGCUAGCGGAUGGAAGUGCUAGUCUAAGGUCGUAGGAGGUUAUACAGGCAAAUCCGUAUAACAAUACUCCGAGAACUGAAAGGCUUUUUGAAGUCUUCGGAUGGAUAGAAGAACCCCUGAUGCCGUCGAGCCAAGAAAAGUUUCUAAGUUUAGCUAAUGUUGCCCGUACCGUAAACCGACACAGGUGGGUGGGAUGAGUAUUCUAAGGCGCGUGGAAGAACUCUCUUUAAGGAACUCUGCAAAAUAGCACCGUAUCUUCGGUAUAAGGUGUGGUUCGCUUCGUAUUAGGAUUUACUCCGAAAGCGAAGAAACUUACAACAAAGAGUCCCUCCCGACUGUUUACCAAAAACACAGCACUCUGCUAACUCGUAAGAGGAUGUAUAGGGUGUGACGCCUGCCCGGUGCUCGAAGGUUAAUUGAUGGGGUUAGCAUUAGCGAAGCUCUUGAUCGAAGCCCGAGUAAACGGCGGCCGUAACUAUAACGGUCCUAAGGUAGCGAAAUUCCUUGUCGGUUAAAUACCGACCUGCAUGAAUGGCGUAACGAGAUGGGAGCUGUCUCAAAGAGGGAUCCAGUGAAAUUGUAGUGGAGGUGAAAAUUCCUCCUACCCGCGGCAAGACGGAAAGACCCCGUGGACCUUUACUACAGCUUGACACUGCUAUUUGGAUAAGAAUGUGCAGGAUAGGUGGGAGGCUUUGAGUAUAUGACGCCAGUUGUAUAUGAGCCAUUGUUGAGAUACCACUCUUUCUUAUUUGGGUAGCUAACCAGCUUGAGUUAUCCUCAAGUGGGACAAUGUCUGGUGGGUAGUUUGACUGGGGCGGUCGCCUCCCAAAUAAUAACGGAGGCUUACAAAGGUUGGCUCAGAACGGUUGGAAAUCGUUCGUAGAGUAUAAAGGUAUAAGCCAGCUUAACUGCAAGACAUACAAGUCAAGCAGAGACGAAAGUCGGUCUUAGUGAUCCGGUGGUUCUGUGUGGAAGGGCCAUCGCUCAAAGGAUAAAAGGUACCCCGGGGAUAACAGGCUGAUCUCCCCCAAGAGCUCACAUCGACGGGGAGGUUUGGCACCUCGAUGUCGGCUCAUCGCAUCCUGGGGCUGGAGCAGGUCCCAAGGGUAUGGCUGUUCGCCAUUUAAAGCGGUACGCGAGCUGGGUUCAGAACGUCGUGAGACAGUUCGGUCCCUAUCUGCCGUGGGCGUAAGAAGAUUGAAGAGAUUUGACCCUAGUACGAGAGGACCGGGUUGAACAAACCACUGGUGUAGCUGUUGUUCUGCCAAGAGCAUCGCAGCGUAGCUAAGUUUGGAAAGGAUAAACGCUGAAAGCAUCUAAGCGUGAAGCCAACUCUAAGAUGAAUCUUCUCUAAGCUCUCUAGAAGACUACUAGUUUGAUAGGCUGGGUGUGUAAUGGAUGAAAGUCCUUUAGCUGACCAGUACUAAUAGAGCGUUUGGCUUAUCUUUAAUAAAGCAU